Molecule: RNA transcript, 2275 nt
Organism: Zingiber officinale
Lineage: Eukaryota; Viridiplantae; Streptophyta; Magnoliopsida; Zingiberales; Zingiberaceae
Exons: 3
Source: RefSeq, a predicted model, not a curated record
AGUUUACCCACUUUUUUUGUCUUUUAUUUUAAAGCUAUUGUUUCAGCUAAGAGUGGUCAAGAAGAACAAUUAAAAAAAGAUCAUAAGACACUUCAUCUAAUGGUUGAAAUGGUCCAUAGGAAGUUAAAGGGUGAUGUCUGCAGUUGGCCAGAUAGGAGGUACACGUAAAGAAUGAUCUAAUAUGAGGUACAUGCGUAAAGAAUGAUCUAACAUGAGGUUAAAGAGAAAAAGUAUUUAACGAAUGGCCGUGAUUGCUUUCCCGACCAGUGGCACUUUAGCAACAUGGAAAGCAGAUGGCAGCAGCAGAAAGGUAUAUUCUCUCCGCUAAAAAAAAAAUGUUUAUAACACGUUUCAAGACUAGGUUGCGUUCCAUUUCAGACCUCAGCUUUAAUUUAUUCCCUGAUACAUUUCCUUUAACUCACUUUUGCGUGAUGCUGUUGAUAUCAUAAAUGAUGUGGUGACCAUUGCAACAUACUGUGCUUGGCUAAUAUUAAAUGAAUUUUUUAACCUCCUGAACUACUCUAAACCUUGGUUUCUUUACCCUGGAAUUUCUGAAUGACUAUUGCCUUAAUACUUAGAGGAGUUCAAGUUCUAAGGGCAGAAAAUGACCUUAAGUUAUUAAUAUUGUAGCAGAAGAAAACUUGUAUUUGAUGUCUUUGAUGGUAUUAUACAAAUAACGUGUUAGAAUGAAUGUCUUCCUCGCAAAGCCAUUGGACAGAGCUUCAACUUUUCUUUCAAUAGGUAUCGAAUUCCAAAUUUACUGGGAAAGAAAAGCAGUUGAAAAGUGAAUGCAUAAAGAUUAAUUUGCUGGUUCUCUUCACACGAACAGUAUUUAGGACAUUUCAACCACUUGCACCUGCGCCAGUCUUGAUGUGAUCUUUAAGUGCCCUUCGACACCCUUCCACUACAAGCCUCAGAGAUAAUAAUACAUGAGAUCUCACUUGUGAGGCUUUCUUUCUAAACAGGAAGGUUUUUUAGGUUACCUGUCCGUUUAAGUUAAUUUGUUCAUUCAUUAUAGUUUAAAAGGAAAGGAAGGAGGUGAAAGACACGGCCAAAUGCAUAGAAAAAAAAGUAAGAUGUCGACUAAUCCAAUUUGAGUUUGCGUUAGGAUACAUCUAUUUAGCUAAACUGAGACACCCAAAAGAAAGAUUUGUUGAUAGAAGAAAAUAUUAGGAAGUAUUUGUAGAUGUAUGUUUUUCUGGUCUGACUUCUAGAUUUAGGAAAAGUUAACUAUGAUGGAAGGAGACCACAACCAAAGGGCAAUCAUUCCAAGUUCUUGCAUUUACCUUUCUAAAAUAAUUAUUCUAUUUAUUGAUGUCUAACAUGAGAAAAGGAUACAAACAUACGAUUGAACACAAGACUAGAAACAACCAUUCCAUUUAUUUAUUCUAUUCCUUCUGCAUUUCAUUUCAUUGUAUCAAACACACACUUCUAUCUCGUAGGUAUUCCUGGAAUUAAAGAUUUUUGUAGAGUUAUUUCAUGAGACAACCAUCUUAGUUUUAGAAGGAGAAAAUUCACAAGCACAAUGAUGCAACAAUUUGUUUUUGAUCAGGUUAAGCAUGCAUGUAGAAUGAUUGCAGCUAAGCAAACUCUGGCCUCUGUUCCUCUCAAGGGAAUUUAUUUCUAUAUGUUUUUUUGAUCUUCCUUUCUCAUCUUCCUUCAACUGGAAAGCAGAUGCACCACCACCAUGAAGGCAUAAUCUAGCUUUUGGCUAUAUCUUUUGACCUCAUAUCCCACUAUAAUUUCUCCCUUGCCAAAUUUCUUUUAAGAGCAUGCACUUAUCAAAAAGUUUCACAGUUACUUGUUUAACUUUCAUUCUUUUCAGAAGCUAUGCGCCACCAUCGCCACCUCUGUCCCACUUCAGAUAGUGACCAUCAUGUGCCCACACAGACGAAGGGCUAUGGAUCACUGGCAAGCGCACUUGUACACUUAUGGCCACCUUGGCAAUUGGCCAUGCUUCAGUGUCUAAUGUCUUGAGGAGCCCUAAAGGGUAUGGCGCUCCUUUCACCUUUUCUAAAGGAGAAAUGGAACAAAAUCUUCGCGGCUAAGUUUCGAGCAGAGCUAGGUAGCAAUAGCACAUCGUGGAUUGUAAGAUUCACCCGUGCACAUGUGGUGCCGCGUCUCGAGUGGGUCCUUGUAGUCGUAGGUAUGACUUGGCACCAAUGAUUGCGGCGUGACAGUCUGCUAAUCGAUUAUGUUAUAAGAGAAUCACAUAUGAGAAUUUUUCAAGUUGAAUAUUGUUAGAAUUCUUGUUAUAUCGAUUGAAAGUAUAUGA